GUAUUUUGCGAUUGAUCCACAGGAAAUAGACGCAGCUGCGUGGAUCGCCUUCUCCACCCCACAUACUGAAGCCAGAAUAAGCCACGACUUCGUGUGCUCCACGCGAGGGCCGCCUGACGCCAGAGUUUCUCCCGCAUCUGCCAUCAGAGGACCGUCGCCCUCAGGAGCCCGAGCUCCCGCGGCUUCUCCGAAAUUGGAGUUCCAGAAGCCAUCCUUGGAUAACAUCUCUAUAAUCUCCUGGGAGAAUCCUUCUUCGAAGAAAUCCUCCAUCAGAGGAGAGUUCUUGGUCUCAGUCACAUCUGAAAGAGCAAGUGCAAAUGUCUCCUGUUCACUAAGGACUGAGUCUUGCCCUGUUGCCCAGGCUGAAGUGCUGCACGAUCUCAGCUCAACGCAACCUCUGCCUCCUGGGUUCAAGUGAUUCUCCUGCCUCAGCCUCCCGAGUAGCUGGGACUGCAGGUGCCCUCCACCACGCCCAGCUAAUUUUUGUAUUUUUAGUAGAGACAGAGUUUCAGCAUGUUGGCCAGGCUGGUCUCGAACUCCUGACCUCAAGUGACCGGCCUGCCUCGCCCU
Homo sapiens (human) is the source of this 570-nucleotide long non-coding RNA. The record is from Ensembl. Lineage: Eukaryota; Metazoa; Chordata; Mammalia; Primates; Hominidae.